AUCUAGCUUACCAGUUCCAAACAGGACGAAACUCAUGUCCUGGAU
RNAcentral lists this non-coding RNA (45 nucleotides) under Schistosoma margrebowiei. Lineage: Eukaryota; Metazoa; Platyhelminthes; Trematoda; Strigeidida; Schistosomatidae. The record is from RNAcentral.